Long non-coding RNA from Acanthaster planci (crown-of-thorns starfish), 672 nucleotides. The record is from RefSeq and is a predicted model, not a curated record. NCBI's taxonomy places the organism in Eukaryota, Metazoa, Echinodermata, Asteroidea, Valvatida, Acanthasteridae.
AUGAACUGUUGGAAUUAACUGGCUCUCUGCCGCCGCACAGUCACGCCUGGCGAUUCUCUUUUUGGAACAAUAUUUUCAAGUCAAAUGGUGAGGAAAGUUUUUGCAUUCAUCCGUAUGAAAGGAGACCAGUUAAAGGAAAGUGUAUCGAGUGAAUUCUCGGGGAACAAAGUGAUACUCACGACCAGUGGAGGUCUCGCAAACGGUCUUCAGACUUUCUCUAACGAAUGUAUAAACGCAGGUGAGCUCGGAGACAGUCCGUUGAAGGCAUUUAUUUACAUCUGAUGCCGGCGCAGCGUGUCAACUCCGACCAGCAACUACCCUGACAGUGUUGAUUUGACACCAAUGUGACACCAUGGGUUUUGCAGUGUAAACCCUCCAGCUUGUUGCACUUCUCAUCGACUGUGAAGUGUGCCGGUGAGCUGAACUCGGCCUAGCAAACGUCCCCCGAUUUGCGGGGGAUAAGUGGUGGGUGAUCGUUGGUAUUGACAAGAAGGAAGCAUACAUUCUGUCUAGAAAGUUUCCUUUAACAACUCAGCAGACUUAAUUUACCGUAAAAGUUUUUUAAAACAUCUUUUUCCAAGAUUGUCGGAGUGCAAAUUUUUCAGGAGUUCAGCUUUUAGGAGUUUUUAGAGUCACUCUUUGCGGUCAUUUUGACACCAUUUUUGCAAACAU